This 810-nucleotide ribosomal RNA is filed under the name Streptococcus sp. C5I5. RNAcentral describes it as "bacterial SSU rRNA". It matches the Rfam family "Bacterial small subunit ribosomal RNA", at positions 97 to 894 of the family's 1533-position model. Lineage: Bacteria; Bacillati; Bacillota; Bacilli; Lactobacillales; Streptococcaceae. The record is from RNAcentral.
CGCGAACGGGUGAGUAACGCGUAGGUAACCUGCCUGAUAGUGGGGGAUAACUAUUGGAAACGAUAGCUAAUACCGCAUAAGAGUCGUUAACACAUGUUAAUGAUUUAAAAGGAGCAAUUGCUUCACUAUCAGAUGGACCUGCGUUGUAUUAGCUAGUUGGUGAGGUAACGGCUCACCAAGGCCUCGAUACAUAGCCGACCUGAGAGGGUGAUCGGCCACACUGGGACUGAGACACGGCCCAGACUCCUACGGGAGGCAGCAGUAGGGAAUCUUCGGCAAUGGGGGCAACCCUGACCGAGCAACGCCGCGUGAGUGAAGAAGGUUUUCGGAUCGUAAAGCUCUGUUAUAAGCGAAGAACGGGAGUAAGAGUGGAAAGUUUACUCUGUGACGGUAGCUUAUCAGAAAGGGACGGCUAACUACGUGCCAGCAGCCGCGGUAAUACGUAGGUCCCGAGCGUUGUCCGGAUUUAUUGGGCGUAAAGCGAGCGCAGGUGGUUUAAUAAGUCUGAAGUUAAAGGCAUUGGCUCAACCAAUGUACGCUUUGGAAACUGUUGAACUUGAGUGCAGAAGGGGAGAGUGGAAUUCCAUGUGUAGCGGUGAAAUGCGUAGAUAUAUGGAGGAACACCGGUGGCGAAAGCGGCUCUCUGGUCUGUAACUGACACUGAGGCUCGAAAGCGUGGGUAGCGAACAGGAUUAGAUACCCUGGUAGUCCACGCCGUAAACGAUGAGUGCUAGGUGUUGGGUCCUUUCCGGGACUCAGUGCCGCAGCUAACGCAUUAAGCACUCCGCCUGGGGAGUACGACCGCAAGGU